RNAcentral lists this ribosomal RNA (484 nucleotides) under uncultured bacterium. Its description in RNAcentral is "partial 16S ribosomal RNA". It matches the Rfam family "Bacterial small subunit ribosomal RNA", at positions 30 to 507 of the family's 1533-position model. The record is from RNAcentral.
AUUGAACGCUGGCGGCAGGCCUAACACAUGCAAGUCGAGCGGAUGAAGGGUGCUUGCUCCUGGAUUCAGCGGCGGACGGGUGAGUAAUGCCUAGGAAUCUGCCUGGUGGUGGGGGAUAACGUCCGGAAACGGGCGCUAAUACCGCAUACGUCCUGAGGGAGAAAGUGGGGGAUCUUCGGACCUCACGCUAUCAGAUGAGCCUAGGUCGGAUUAGCUAGUUGGUGGGGUAAAGGCCUACCAAGGCGACGAUCCGUAACUGGUCUGAGAGGAUGAUCAGUCACACUGGAACUGAGACACGGUCCAGACUCCUACGGGAGGCAGCAGUGGGGAAUAUUGGACAAUGGGCGAAAGCCUGAUCCAGCCAUGCCGCGUGUGUGAAGAAGGUCUUCGGAUUGUAAAGCACUUUAAGUUGGGAGGAAGGGCAGUAAGUUAAUACCUUGCUGUUUUGACGUUACCAACAGAAUAAGCACCGGCUAACUUCGUG